AAAGGGAUUGUAGUGUCUGGCCUGCCCACUGAAAAAUAUUUAAUGGCCGCGGUAUUUUGACCGUGCGAAGGUAGCAUAAUCAUUAGUCUUUUAAUUGAAGGCUGGAAUGAAUGGUCGGACAAGAAGUAAAUUGUCUUUUUUAUGAUUUUAAAAUUUUACUUUUAAGUGAAAAGGCUUAAAUGCUUUAAGGGGACGAUAAGACCCUAUAAAACUUUAUAAAAUAUUUAUACUAUUUUGAUUGAGAUGUUUAAAAGUUAUUUAUAUAAAUUUAUUUUGUUGGGGUGACAGAGAUAUAAAUUAGCUUAGCUAACUGUCUAAAAAUUUAAAUAAUUAUAAUUAGAUUUUGAUCCAUUAUUAGUGAUUAAAAGACUAAGUUACUUUAGGGAUAACAGCGUAAUUUUUUUUGAGAGUUCUUAUCGACAGAAUUAGUUGCGACCUCGAUGUUGAAUUAAAGUUUCCUUUUUGUGCAAAAGUAAGGAAGGUAGGUCUGUUCGACCUUUAAAGCUUACAUAUUUGAGUUUAAAAAC
Molecule: ribosomal RNA, 527 nt
Filed under: Nikoides subdistalis
Lineage: Eukaryota; Metazoa; Arthropoda; Malacostraca; Decapoda; Processidae
Description: Nikoides sp. CBM-ZC 16574 partial 16S ribosomal RNA
Rfam family: Archaeal large subunit ribosomal RNA
Source: RNAcentral